Molecule: ribosomal RNA, 322 nt
Filed under: uncultured eukaryote
Lineage: Eukaryota
Description: SSU rRNA
Rfam family: Eukaryotic small subunit ribosomal RNA
Source: RNAcentral
CAAUAGCGUAUAUUAAAGUUGUUGCGGUUAAAAAGCUCGUAGUUGGAUUUCUGCCGAGGACGACCGGUCCGCCCUCUGGGUGAGCAUCUGGCUCGGCCUGGGCAUCUUCUUGGAGAACGUAUCUGCACUUGACUGUGUGGUGCGGUAUUCAGGACUUUUACUUUGAGGAAAUUAGAGUGUUUCAAGCAGGCAUACGCCUUGAAUACAUUAGCAUGGAAUAAUAAGAUAGGACCUCGGUUCUAUUUUGUUGGUUUCUAGAUCUGAGGUAAUGAUUAAUAGGGACAGUUGGAGAUAUUCAUAUUCAGUUGUCAGAGGUAAGUAA